UAGGGAAUCUUGGGCAAUGGGGGAAACCCUGACCCAGCAACGCCGCGUGAGGGAUGAAGGCCUUCGGGUCGUAAACCUCUGUCGGGAGGGAAGAACCGUCCCGGGUCGAAUAGGCUCGGGGCCUGACGGUACCUCCAAAGGAAGCGCCGGCUAACUCCGUGCCAGCAGCCGCGGUAAUACGGAGGGCGCAAGCGUUGUUCGGAAUCAUUGGGCGUAAAGCGCGUGUAGGCGGCUUGGCAAGUCGGGUGUGAAAGCCCGGGGCUCAACCCCGGAACUGCAUUCGAAACUGCCUCGCUAGAGUCCCGGAGAGGAAGGCAGAAUUCCCGGUGUAGAGGUGAAAUUCGUAGAUAUCGGGAGGAAUACCAGUGGCGAAGGCGGCCUUCUGGACGGCGACUGACGCUGAGACGCGAAAGCGUGGGGAGCAAACAGGAUUAGAUACCCCCGUAGUCC
This 450-nucleotide ribosomal RNA is filed under the name uncultured prokaryote. Its description in RNAcentral is "bacterial SSU rRNA". It matches the Rfam family "Bacterial small subunit ribosomal RNA", at positions 355 to 796 of the family's 1533-position model. The record is from RNAcentral.